GCUUCUGGGUCGGGGUUUCGUACGUA
RNAcentral lists this non-coding RNA (26 nucleotides) under Macaca fascicularis (crab-eating macaque). Lineage: Eukaryota; Metazoa; Chordata; Mammalia; Primates; Cercopithecidae. The record is from RNAcentral. RNAcentral also lists the same sequence under 4 other names.